Molecule: ribosomal RNA, 524 nt
Filed under: Listeria monocytogenes
Lineage: Bacteria; Bacillati; Bacillota; Bacilli; Caryophanales; Listeriaceae
Description: bacterial SSU rRNA
Rfam family: Bacterial small subunit ribosomal RNA
Source: RNAcentral
CCCUUCGGGGACAAAGUGACAGGUGGUGCAUGGUUGUCGUCAGCUCGUGUCGUGAGAUGUUGGGUUAAGUCCCGCAACGAGCGCAACCCUUGAUUUUAGUUGCCAGCAUUUAGUUGGGCACUCUAAAGUGACUGCCGGUGCAAGCCGGAGGAAGGUGGGGAUGACGUCAAAUCAUCAUGCCCCUUAUGACCUGGGCUACACACGUGCUACAAUGGAUAGUACAAAGGGUCGCGAAGCCGCGAGGUGGAGCUAAUCCCAUAAAACUAUUCUCAGUUCGGAUUGUAGGCUGCAACUCGCCUACAUGAAGCCGGAAUCGCUAGUAAUCGUGGAUCAGCAUGCCACGGUGAAUACGUUCCCGGGCCUUGUACACACCGCCCGUCACACCACGAGAGUUUGUAACACCCGAAGUCGGUAGGGUAACCUUUAUGGAGCCAGCCGCCGAAGGUGGGACAGAUAAUUGGGGUGAAGUCGUAACAAGGUAGCCGUAUCGGAAGGUGCGGCUGGAUCACCUCCUUUCUAAGGAA